CAUGUAGGCGGCAUGACAAGUCUGGUGUGAAAUAUCUCGGCUCAACCGAGAAAACGCACUGGAAACUGUCAAGCUUGAGUAUCGGUGGGGAAGCUAGAAUUCCUGGUGUAGGGGUGAAAUCUGUAGAUAUCAGGAAGAAUACCGGUGGCGAAGGCGAGCUUCUGGCCAGAUACUGACGCUGAGAUGCGAAAGCGUGGGGAGCGAACAGGAUUAGAUACCCUGGUAGUCC
RNAcentral lists this ribosomal RNA (229 nucleotides) under uncultured bacterium. RNAcentral's name for it is "partial 16S ribosomal RNA". It matches the Rfam family "Bacterial small subunit ribosomal RNA", at positions 568 to 796 of the family's 1533-position model. The record is from RNAcentral.